This 228-nucleotide ribosomal RNA is filed under the name Escherichia coli. Its description in RNAcentral is "partial 16S ribosomal RNA". It matches the Rfam family "Bacterial small subunit ribosomal RNA", at positions 1316 to 1533 of the family's 1533-position model. Lineage: Bacteria; Pseudomonadati; Pseudomonadota; Gammaproteobacteria; Enterobacterales; Enterobacteriaceae. The record is from RNAcentral.
CUCCAUGAAGUCGGAAUCGCUAGUAAUCGUGGAUCAGAAUGCCACGGUGAAUACGUUCCCGGGCCUUGUACACACCGCCCGUCACACCAUGGGAGUGGGUUGCAAAAGAAGUAGGUAGCUUAACCUUCGGGAGGGCGCUUACCACUUUGUGAUUCAUGACUGGGGUGAAGUCGUAACAAGGUAACCGUAGGGGAACCUGCGGUUGGAUCACCUCCUUACCUUAAAGAA